GAUGAACGCUAGCUACAGGCUUAACACAUGCAAGUCGCGGGGCAGCAUUUUCUUAGCUUGCUAAGGAAGAUGGCGACCGGCGCACGGGUGAGUAACGCGUAUCCAACCUUCCCAUGUCCACGGGAUAGCCCGUCGAAAGGCGGAUUAAUACCGUAUGAGGUCACAUGCGGGCAUCUAAGUGUGACGAAAGGUUUGGCGGACAUGGAUGGGGAUGCGUCCGAUUAGCUAGUUGGCGGGGUAACGGCCCACCAAGGCGACGAUCGGUAGGGGUUCUGAGAGGAAGGUCCCCCACAUUGGAACUGAGACACGGUCCAAAACUCCUACGGGAGGCAGCAGUGAGGAAUAUUGGUCAAUGGACGUAAGUCUGAACCAGCCAAGUAGCGUGCAGGAUGACGGCCCUAUGGGUUGUAAACUGCUUUUAUGCGGGGAUAAAGUGUGGGACGUGUCCCAUAUUGCAGGUACUGCAUGAAUAAGGACCGGCUAAAUUCCGUGCCAGCAGCC
RNAcentral lists this ribosomal RNA (501 nucleotides) under uncultured bacterium. RNAcentral describes it as "bacterial SSU rRNA". It matches the Rfam family "Bacterial small subunit ribosomal RNA", at positions 28 to 516 of the family's 1533-position model. The record is from RNAcentral.